AGUGAACGCUGGCUGUAGGCCCAACACAUGCCAGUCGAACGGCAGCACAGUAAGAGCUUGCUCUUACGGGUGGCGAGUGGCGGACGGGUGAGGAAUACAUCGGAAUCUACUUUUUCGUGGGGGAUAACGUAGGGAAACUUACGCUAAUACCGCAUACGACCUACGGGUGAAAGCAGGGGAUCUUCGGACCUUGCGCGAUUGAAUGAGCCGAUGUCGGAUUAGCUAGUUGGCAGGGUAAAGGCCCACCAAGGCGACGAUCCGUAGCUGGUCUGAGAGGAUGAUCAGCCACACUGGAACUGAGACACGGUCCAGACUCCUACGGGAGGCAGCAGUGGGGAAUAUUGGACAAUGGGCGCAAGCCUAAUCCAGCCAUACCGCGUGGGUGAAGAAGGCCUUCGGGUUGUAAAGCCCUUUUGUUGGGAAAGAAAAGCAGCAGGUUAAUACCCCGCUGUUCUGACGGUACCCAAAGAAUAAGCACCGGCUAACUUCGUG
Molecule: ribosomal RNA, 492 nt
Filed under: uncultured bacterium
Lineage: Bacteria
Description: partial 16S ribosomal RNA
Rfam family: Bacterial small subunit ribosomal RNA
Source: RNAcentral